Molecule: ribosomal RNA, 392 nt
Filed under: uncultured bacterium
Lineage: Bacteria
Description: partial 16S ribosomal RNA
Rfam family: Bacterial small subunit ribosomal RNA
Source: RNAcentral
UACGGAGGAUCCGAGCGUUAUCCGGAUUUAUUGGGUUUAAAGGGUGCGCAGGCGGGAGAUUAAGUCGGCGGUGAAAUUUUGCAGCUCAAAUGUAAAAGUGCCUUCGAAACUGGUUUCCUUGAGUGUAGAUGAAGUAGGCGGAAUUUGUGGUGUAGCGGUGAAAUGCAUAGAUAUCACGAGGAACUCCGAUUGCGCAGGCAGCUUACUAAACUACUACUGACGCUCAGGCACGAAGGCGUGGGGAUCAAACAGGAUUAGAUACCCUGGUAGUCCACGCAGUAAACGAUGAUUACUAGCUGUUUGCGAUACAAUGUAAGCGGCUGAGCGAAAGCGUUAAGUAAUCCACCUGGGGAGUACGUUCGCAAGAAUGAAACUCAAAUGAAUUGACGGGG